AUUCAAAGGACAAAGACCUGGUUCCUACCUCGAGCAUACAAAAGUUCAAUAUGGGAAUACCUUGGAUAUUGUAAUUGUGAAUACAGAGUUAUUUCAGGGCCCUUCAGCUGGUGCUAUGGAGCAUCAGUUACUAUGGCUCACGAAGACACUGGAAGAAAGCACCAGUGACUGGCGCAUUGUUGUUGGUUUCCACCCACUGUUAGCUUGUAAUGGAAGUACGGAAGCUAAAGACAAUCCUCUCUGUCUUAAUGAAAUGUUUUUGAAUC
Coffea eugenioides is the source of this 266-nucleotide long non-coding RNA. RefSeq lists it as uncharacterized. NCBI's taxonomy places the organism in Eukaryota, Viridiplantae, Streptophyta, Magnoliopsida, Gentianales, Rubiaceae. The transcript is spliced from 3 exons. The record is from RefSeq and is a predicted model, not a curated record.